AAAUUUCACCUUUAAUUUUAAUAACAUUUUUAUAUAAUUUUUUUUUAAAUUAAAUUAAAAGGGGAAAAAUUCUAUUUGUUUAACCGCUGCUGCUGGCACAAAUUUAGCUAGAAUUUAUUUCUAACUCUCAAUAAUUUUUAAUUAUUAAAUAAAUUAAAUUUUCUAUUUACAUUUUUUAAAUAUUAUAUAAAAAAGUUAGGAAAAUUUCCCAGUAACCAAACCAAAUUU
Molecule: ribosomal RNA, 228 nt
Filed under: Dermacentor variabilis (American dog tick)
Lineage: Eukaryota; Metazoa; Arthropoda; Arachnida; Ixodida; Ixodidae
Description: partial 12S ribosomal RNA
Source: RNAcentral